GACGAACGCUGGCGGCGCGCUUAACACAUGCAAGUCGAACGGAAAGGCCUGCUUUCCCUUGUGGAUUGCGGGUACUCGAGUGGCGAACGGGUGAGUAACACGUGAGUGAUCUGCCCCCAACUUGGGUAUAAGCCUGGGAAACUGGGUCUAAUUCCCGAUAGGACUGCAGGGUGGUGCCUGUGGUGGAACACGAUUUUCUAGUGGUUGGGGAUGUGCUCGCGGCCUAUCAGCUUGUUGGUGGGGUAAUGGCCUACCAAGGCGGCGACGGGCAGCCGGCCUGGGAGAGUGGACGGGCACAUUUGGACUGAGAUACGGGCCAGACGCCUACGGGAAGCAGCAGUGGGGAAUCAUGCGCAAGGGGCGGAAGCCUGAUGCAGCGACGCCGCGUGGGGGAUGACGGCCUUCGGGUUGUAAACUCCUGGCGACCGCGAGGAAGCCACCUGGUUGGAAGGGUGGUGACGGUAGUGGUAGAAGAAGCACCGGCUAACUACGUG
This 494-nucleotide ribosomal RNA is filed under the name uncultured bacterium. RNAcentral describes it as "partial 16S ribosomal RNA". It matches the Rfam family "Bacterial small subunit ribosomal RNA", at positions 28 to 507 of the family's 1533-position model. The record is from RNAcentral.